This 485-nucleotide ribosomal RNA is filed under the name uncultured bacterium. Its description in RNAcentral is "partial 16S ribosomal RNA". It matches the Rfam family "Bacterial small subunit ribosomal RNA", at positions 29 to 507 of the family's 1533-position model. The record is from RNAcentral.
UUGAACGCUGGCGGCAUGCCUUACACAUGCAAGUCGAACGGCAGCACGGGGGGUAACCCCUGGUGGCGAGUGGCGAACGGGUGAGUAAUAUAUCGGAACGUGUCCUGUAGCGGGGGAUAACCUAUCGAAAGAUGGACUAAUACCGCAUACGACCUACGGGUGAAAGCGGAGGACCGCAAGGCUUCGCACUAUAGGAGCGGCCGAUAUCGGAUUAGCUAGUUGGCGGGGUAACGGCCCACCAAGGCGACGAUCCGUAGCUGGUCUGAGAGGACGAUCAGCCACACUGGAACUGAGACACGGUCCAGACUCCUACGGGAGGCAGCAGUGGGGAAUUUUGGACAAUGGGCGCAAGCCUGAUCCAGCCAUGCCGCGUGAGUGAAGAAGGCCUUCGGGUUGUAAAGCUCUUUCGGCGGGGACGAAACGGUUCGUGCUAAUACCACGGACUACUGACGGUACCCGCAGAAGAAGCACCGGCUAACUACGUG